This is a long non-coding RNA of Amyelois transitella, 513 nucleotides long. RefSeq lists it as uncharacterized. The record is from RefSeq and is a predicted model, not a curated record. NCBI's taxonomy places the organism in Eukaryota, Metazoa, Arthropoda, Insecta, Lepidoptera, Pyralidae. The transcript is spliced from 3 exons.
GUUUAUUAAAAGAAGUGCAUGGGAUUAGUAAAAUAAUAUAUAGUAUUAGGAGGAGUUCCUACUUGUUACUUAAUAUUAUUGUCUCUUAAAUACAUACACACAAAAACGUCUUUAUCCCUGACGGAGGAGACAGAGCCUGAGAGAGGAGAAUGACCUUGAAAAGAGUAACCCUGUAAAGGAACGUUCAGCUGUAUGGCUUAAUGAUGGAAUUGAGAUUCAAUUAGUGAAAGUUUCAGCGCCCAAAAGAAGAACAGCAAGGUUGUGGCCUCUUAGUCUUCUCGAGACUGUUGGCUCUGUCUUCACAUUAAGGAAAAAAACGUUAGGAACAUUGAGAAGAAACCUGCAUAUUCAUUCAACUGGAUGUGUAGCCGUGAUCCGAUAUGGGUUUCGAGUACCAAUUUACCCAAAUCCAGGGUGGUGGAUAAUAGACCCAGUCUUUCGAAUAGCAUAACGCCAGGAACGAUCAUGUUAAAAAAGUCACGACAACAGAUAUAUUCAGUGCCUAGGUAUGUA